RNAcentral lists this ribosomal RNA (445 nucleotides) under Loktanella sp. RNAcentral describes it as "bacterial SSU rRNA". It matches the Rfam family "Bacterial small subunit ribosomal RNA", at positions 35 to 526 of the family's 1533-position model. Lineage: Bacteria; Pseudomonadati; Pseudomonadota; Alphaproteobacteria; Rhodobacterales; Roseobacteraceae. The record is from RNAcentral.
GCUGGCGGCAGGCCUAACACAUGCAAGUCGAACGAAGCCUUCGGGCUUAGUGGCGGACGGGUUAGUAACGCGUGGGAACGUGCCCUUCUCUACGGAAUAGUCCCGGGAAACUGGGUUUAAUACCGUAUACGCCCUUCGGGGGAAAGAUUUAUCGGGGAAGGAUCGGCCCGCGUCUGAUUAGAUAGUUGGUGGGGUAAUGGCCUACCAAGUCGACGAUCAGUAGCUGGUUUGAGAGGAUGAUCAGCAACACUGGGACUGAGACACGGCCCAGACUCCUACGGGAGGCAGCAGUGGGGAAUCUUAGACAAUGGGCGCAAGCCUGAUCUAGCCAUGCCGCGUGAGUGAUGAAGGCCUUAGGGUCGUAAAGCUCUUUCGCUGGGGAAGAUAAUGACUGUACCCAGUAAAGAAACCCCGGCUAACUCCGUGCCAGCAGCGGGGUUAAUAA